RNAcentral lists this long non-coding RNA (25148 nucleotides) under Lactuca sativa (garden lettuce). Its description in RNAcentral is "long non-coding RNA (LSAT_LNC010109)". The record is from RNAcentral. Lineage: Eukaryota; Viridiplantae; Streptophyta; Magnoliopsida; Asterales; Asteraceae.
AAGAAAAGUGUUCUCAAUAAAAGAGUUUUCUAAGAGAAGGGUGUGGUACAUGCAAUCAACUGAGAUCAAGUAAGUUUUCCCAUAAUACUCAUACAUGUUAGCUGUUAUGACUUGAUUUAUGAAUCUGUGAAUCGCAUGCUAGUUAGGGCUAGGGAUCUGCUCAGUUCUUGCAUGAUUGAAUGCUAGGAGAGAUGCCUUGUAUAUAUAUUAUAUGAGUUGGUAGACUUGCAGCUAUUGCUGAUUAGUUAGUGGUUGAUUGGCCUUAUAUGUGAUGCCUUAUUGCAUUGGGUGUAUUGGAUGCUCUGCUGUGACAGGAAUAUAUGUUGGAAUCAAUAAUUGCUAAGCUUUAAAAAUUGUAUACUGUUAGGAUCUUAUAGCCCUAGAAUAAUUAAUUUUGCCUUAUUCCUUGUUCCUUGUCUGGUUGUGGUUCUAGGGUAGAGUCUGUUAUUCGACAGUCUAUUUGAUCAUUUUUUACGUACAAUUUGCAUGCAUAAGGCAACCGACAGUAAUGGUGGAAUUUCUAGCAUGAGUUAUGGUAUGUGGGUUGAGUGUUCUAUGAUCAUUCUAAGGAUUGGAGUGUUACUGAACGAAUGCUUCUCGCUUUGUGCUUUGUGGAAUUCCUAGGUGAUGGGAGUUAGCCACUAAGUGAAUAUGAUUGUAUUCAUGAGGUGCGUGACUGGCUUUACGGGGAGUUCUUCAGUAGUAUAUGGUAGUGAGGUCGGGAACCUAGGAAGUGCUUCAGUGGGUUUUGUGGCGCUGUUUAGUGAAUUUUUGGUGCAUCAGUUUGAGUAGGUGACUUAGAGGAGUUAGGGUGAUUCUUGAGGAAAGCAUGGAUAGGUGUCGAAGGUAGUAUUGGCCAUGCUAGAGAUAUAUUCUUGGAAUUGAUGUUGAAUUAAUUAUUUGCUAAGUGUAUGCUUUCAAAGUUGUAUAUUUCUAGGAGGCAUUGCCCUAGAAUGAUGGAUUUUGCCUUAUGUCAUGUUCCUUUUUUGGUUGUGGCUUUAGGCUAGAAGCUUUAUUUGAUAGUCUAUAUGAUUCUAUUUAUGUAUAACUUGCAUGCAUAGGGCAACGUGCGAUGAUGAUUUUGAUUUCUGAUUCGGUGAGGAUAGAGAAAUCCUAGAAUAGUCUAGGAUCUGAGUUUGUGUUGUGUUCUGUGGGUCAUGUUUAUCUGUGGUUGGGUGAAUUAGAGGCAUCAUGUAUGGCCUCGGGGAAGGUACAUGUAGUUGUGGAAGGUAGUAUUGGGCUCGUACUACUGAAAGCACAGGACCUGUACCUGAAACAAGGACAAACUUGGAAGCUCUAAGGAGUCCGAUGAGGAGGAAUCCCUUUGAACUUCCUUAUCAAUUGUUCUUUAUGUUGUAUUUUUUUUUUCAGUUGGGGAUGGUGAUGAUUAUGCGAGGAGGUUCGGGUUCAGGAUCAGGAUCAGGAUUAGGUUCAGGCUCGGGUGUAGAGCUAAUUGAUGAGAGGCUGCGCGAGCUUAUCGCAAUUAAGGUUACUCGUGGCAUCCUUGACGUUACCCCAGUGAUCUUUGGUACCAUCUAGGAGGGGAUCAUGGAGAUUAUGGAGGAGCGGCUCAAGUAUUUUCGAGCCGAGAUUUUUUCGGCUUAGAUUGGGACUCGAACUCCCUCAUUUCGGGAGUUCAAGGCGUGUGGUGCGUCUGGGUUCUUUGGGGUUAGGGACCCCAUCACUAGUGACCGCUGGGUUGCAGACAUGGAGAAUGCCCAACGCACGAGCUUUUUCCCCGAGGCGGCAAAGGUGGGGUUCGCAUCCUGUAUGCUGAGGGAUCGGGCGCGAGAUUGGUAGGAGGAGGUUACCCGCGAGGUAGGAUUGGCGGAUAUGGAUGAGAUGUCUUGGGAGGAGUUUGUGCGGAGGUUUGAUCGGGAGUUCGCACUGGCCAUUGAGGUGCAGCGGGUGGUGAGGUAAUUUCAGGACCUUCAUCAGAUGAUAGAGACUGUGGAGGAGAUCACCGCCAAAGUUUAGAGAGAGGGCACUAUUGGUUCCACAGUACGCUGCAGAUGAGGAGAUGAAGAAGAUGAGGUAUCAAUCCAUGCUGAGGGAGGAUAUCCGUUUGUUUGUGACCUUUUCAGGGCGCAAAACCCUGAAUGACAUAGUGGAGAAGGCCCGUGAACGGGAAAUUGAGUUGGAGCUCCGGACAAAGCAGAAUACGGAUUAGGUUCAUGCAGCAGUGGGUCAAGCCAAGAAGCCUAAGACCUCCGAUCCUCCCAUUACGGGCCAGUAGGGUCGAGGCUGCUGUGCCAAGUGCGACAAGCCGCACAGUGGAGCCUGUCGGGCAUCAGGCUCGACAUGUUAUGCUUGUGGCUAGUCGGGCCACAUGAGCAGGGAUUGCCCAAAGAAGGGCUUGAUUUGUUUUCAUUGCAACCAGACUGGUCAUAAAAAGGCCGAUUGUUUGAGGUUGACUGGGGUAGCAGUGGUAGCGCCUGCGCCCACCACAAGUCUCCUGUGGUGAAGAGCCGCACAUUUUAGCUGACCACGAAGGAGGCCCGAGCAGUGCCGGCCGUCAUGAUUGGUAUGUGAUCUAUUUCUGUCUUAUUUAUUUUGUUGUUAUGACCUUGUAUAGGGACCUUUUUGGUCAAUGGAUUGUUGGCUCCUGUUGUUUUUUAUUCGGGGGGCUACCUGAUCGUUUGUAUCUAUUGCACUUAGCAAGAAGUUUCGAGAUGCUCUGGGGACUUUGGAUUACCACUCGAGGUGGAGAAUGCGAAUGACUGUACCAUGAGCGUUGCGAGGGUAUUUCGGAGGAGUAUUCUGAAUAUGUUCGACGAGAGGUUUCCUAUUGAUUUGGUACCGAUUCCUUUUAGAGGAUUGAAUGUAAUCAUCGGGAUGGACUGGUUGGGGCCCAAUGGGGCCGUAAUAGAUUACGAGCGAUAACUGGUGAGAGUUUGAAGUCCAAGUGGGGGAGAACUGGUUAUUCAUGGAGAGAGAGCCUCGCAUGGGCCAACUCUCUAUUCGGCUGCGAGGGCUAGGAGACUUCUUCAACAGGGUUGUUCUGGGUUUCUGGCUUAUGUGUCAGAUUCAAGGAGAUAGACCAUGACAAAUUUUAGCAGGGUACCUAUUGCGUGAGAUUUUCCUGAUGUUUUUACAGAGGAGUUGCCUAGGGUGCCUCCCGAGAGGUAGGUAGAGUUCCAGAUUUAUUUGAUAUCUGGUGCGUCUCCAAUAGUCAAGGCGUCGUAUCUUCUAGCUCCACCUGAGAUGAAGGAGUUGUCUACGCAGCUGUAGGAGCUGCUAGACAGGAGGUUUAUUCGUCCAAGUAGUUCCCCGUGGGGAGCACUGAUCCUGUUCGUGAAAAAGAAGGAUGGCUCACACAGGAUGUGUAUUGAUUAUCGAGAACUGAACAAGUUGACGGUGAAGAACCGUUACCCGCUUCUGAGGACCGAUGAUUUAUUUGAUCAACUUCAGAGUGCAUCUUGGUUUUCCAAGAUUGAUCUUCGGUCGAGGUAUCAUCAUAUGAGGAUAAGAGAUGAGGAUAUACCGAAGACGACCUUCAGAACUCAUUAUAGUCAUUAUGAGUUUGUGGUGAUGCCAUUUGGGCUCUCCAAUGCCCCAUCAGUGUUCAUGGAUCUCGUGAAUCGGGUUUGCAGGCCGAUGAUGGAUCGGUAUGUGAUUGUUUUCAUUGAUGAUAUCUCGGUCUACUCUAAGACCAAAGAGCAGUACGUGCAUCAUUUGAGAGAGGCGUUGUAGACCUUCAAGAGGGAGAGGCUUUAUGCCAGGUUCUCCAAAUGCAAGUUUUGGUUGCGUGAGGUGCAGUUUCUAGGACACAUCAUCAACCAAGAGGGUAUUUUAGUGGAUCCGGCCAAGAUUGAUGCGGUGAUGCGUUGGGAGGUUUAUUGGAGAUUUAUCCAGAACUUCUCCAAGAUUGUAGUACCUUUGACCCGCUUGACCAAGAAGAGUGUGACCUUUCGAGGGGGUCCAGAUCAACAAUUGGCAUUUGAGACAUUGAGACGAAAAUUAUGCGAGGCCCCGAUUCUGGUGUUACUCGAGGGAUUGGAUGAUUUUGUGGUGUAUUGUGACGCUUCUAUUUCGGGUUUGGGAGCUGAGGGGACAUAUGAUUGCUUACGCCUCGAGGCAACUGAAGCCUCAUGAGAAGAAUUACCCCAUUCAUGACUUAGAAUUGGGGGCGGUGGUAUUUGCCCUAAAUAUUUGGAGGCAUUACUUACAUGGGGUCCGAUGCACCAUUUUCACUGAUCAUAAGAGUUUGAAAUAUUUGAUGGAUCAACCGAAUCUGAAUAUGCGGCAGAGAAGAUGGUUAGACGUGGUGAAAGUAUAUGACUGUGAGAUUUUGUAUCAUCACGGGAAGGCAAAUGUGGUAGCCGAUGCAUUGAGCCGUAAGGCGGCAAGUGUUGUAUGGGCGGAGUUCUCUCACAACAAUAAUUAUCAUGUUAGUAUCGACCGAACCCCAUUCAAGAUGUUGUAUGGGCGGAGGUGUAGGACUCCGGUUUGUUAGGGGAGGUUGGCCAUCGUGUUAUGGGAAGCACCGAAGUGGUGCUUAAGACCACUAAGUUGAUUCAGUAGGUGCGCGACAGGUUGCGAGUCAUGCAAAGGGGCAAGCUAGAGCUGAUUGACGUCGUUCGAAUCUUGAGUUUCAGGUGGGGGAUUUUGUUUUGUUGAAGGUGUCACCUUGGAAUAGUUUCAUCCAGUUUCGGAAGAGGGGCAAGUUAGAGCCCCGAUUCAUUGGUCCAUUUAGAAUUUCUGACCGAGUUGGUAGGGUUUCUUAUCGGUUGGAUCUUCUUUAUGAGCUUAUUUAGAUCCAUAACACCUUCCACGUGUAUCAGCUCCGGAAGUGUGUAGCAAAUGAGACUGCAGUUAUUUCAUUGGAUGAUAUUCAGGUGGAUAAAAGCCUGAACUAUGUGGAGAAUCCCAUUGCAGUAUUGGAUAGAAAAACUAAAGCUAUUCGUAACAAGGUGGUGAAGCUAGUAAAGGUGAAAUGGCAACACUGGAAGGGAUCCAAAUGGACUUGGGAGCCAGAGGACAAGAUGCGAGAGCAUUACCAGGAUCUAUUUGCGUCAGCGGACUUCGAGGACGAAGUGUAGUUCAAGUGGGGGAGAGUUGUAACACUCAAAUCCAGGUAUCCUAUUUUUACCCUCAAAGUAUUUCAUUUUUGGCAAAAAAAAAGGAACCUCCGUACGCUAGGCGUACAUAUGAGUACGCUUAGCGAACGCUUGUGCAUGCAACGGGUGGCCGAGGCUCGUACGCGGGGCGUACGAGGCCAAUGACCAAAACCCUAAUUUCUUGGCUUGGACACUAUUUAAAAACACUUGUUGUUGGAUUAGUGUCUAAGGUUGUAACUAUAUUUGGUAAGUACUUGACCCGGUUAUGCAUGGUCCUUUUGGGUUGCCUUCGCCAUAGCAACUUGACAGGGUGAUUUAUAUAGAGAGAAGAGAUAUUAUUAAUAUAUUAUAAGAAUAAUAUAUUAAAGGAAUAAUAAUAUUAUUUGAUUAAUAUAAGUCAUAAAUUAAUUAGGAAUUAAUUUGAUGACUUAAAGAGAUUAAUUGAAUAAAGGGGCAUAAACUGUCAAAUGUGUGAUAGUUGUAUUUUGAGCUAAGAAUCCUUAUAGAUAUGGGGUGGAUGAUUUUAGGGAUGUGGAUCACCUACAAAUUGUCCAAGGCCUUAUCUAGAAGGGAUAUUGGAUUGCUUUGAGGCUAAGUUAUCCAAUUAGGGUUUUAGGGUGAAACCCUAGGAGCUCACAGUAUAAAUAGGCCUUUAGGGUUGUGGAAAUCGACCACCUUGUUAUUGGAGUAACCCUAGAGCCGAUUUCCCUCUUCCUUACCUCUCUUAAAUCAUCUUCUUGCUAGUUGGUGUUUGUAAGCCAUUAGAGGAGUGACAUUUGUGACUCUAAGCUCCAAGAAGAAGAAGGUUUUCAAGCAAGUAACUCCAGGUAUUAUUCUAGAUUUGUUUUUCAUAUGUCUUAUUGUUAGUUUACAUUAGAUCUAGCCAUGAAAGUCUUGGAUAUAUUGCAUGUUCAGUUAGAGAAACCUAGAUCCAAGUUAUAAGGUUGCAUGUGCACAUAAGAAAGUUCUUAUUGUUGGAAUAGUGUCUAAGGCUGCAACUAUAUUAGGCAAGUAUUUGACCCGGUUGUGCAUGGUCCUUUUGGGUUGCCUUCACCAUAGCAACUUGAUAGGAUGAUUUAUUAAGAGAGAGUAAAUAUUAUUAAUAUAUUAUGAGAAUAAUAUAAAGAAUAAUAAUAUUGUUAUUUGAUUAAUAUAAGUCAUAGAAUUAAUUGGAAUUAAUUUGGUGACUUAAAGAGAUUAAUUAAAUAAGAGGGUAUAAACUAUCAAUUGUUUGAUAGUUAAACUUUAGACUGUAAAUCCAUAUUGAUAUGUAUUGGACGGAUUCUAGAAGCUAAGGAUUGCUUCAAAUCGUCCAAGAGUUAUCUAAGGAAUGGAUUUGGAUAGCCUUAAGAGAAGAUUAUCCAAUUAGGGUUUAGGUUGUAACCCUUAAGGAGUCUACAAGUAUAAAUAGACCCCAUGGCUGAUGGAAUUCGACACUUGACCUAAAGUAAGGAACCUCUGGUCGAAAUUCCUCCCCUCUCCUCUCUCCCAAAUCAUCCUCCUUGCUUUGGUGUUUGUAAGCCAUUAGAGGAGUGACAUUUGUGACUCUAGAAGCUCCAAGACCUCAAGAUCAACAAGGAACUCAAAGGUAUGAUUCUAGAUCUGUUUUAAUGUUCUUGUUUAACCUAAUUAGUAAUUAGAAGUCUUGGAUUCAAAGCAUGUUUAUUAGAAAGCCUAGAUCCAAGCAUUAGGGUUUUGCAUGCGCACAUAGGAAAGUUCUUAUGGCUAAAACCCAUCAGUGGUAUCAGAGCCUAGCUUGGUUUUCUGUAAAUUGUUGCUUGAUUAACUGAAACAAACCUGCAAAAUUCGAAUUUUUGGUUUCUGAGUCAUGGACUCGGCGAGUCUCAAAGUGGACUCGGCGAGUAGGCCUGACUCGGCGAGUCCAUUUGUGCACUCGGCGAGUCCAGGCGUCAGGAAUGGCCAGAUUCGGGAUUUCUUUGUGUUUAUCUUAUCUUAACUUACCAUAAACUAAUUAGAUCAACAUUAAUUCGUUUUUCUGAUAAAUAUAACUAUUAUCUUGAUCUAGUUAAAGGUAAUUAUCAACUAAUUAAAUAUUUAAUUUCCUUAUAUGAUAAUUAAUUAAUUAUUUUGAUUAUUUUGGUAAUUAUCUUUAAAAGAAAUCUUGAAUAAAUCAAAUAUAGAUAAUUAGGAUAUUAAUUGUUAAUUGGAAUUAUUUGUUAUUUGAUCCUCCAUGUUUUAAAUGUUUAAAACCUACCCUCAUGUUUUGAAAUUUACUUUUGUGAUUAAAAGUUUUAAUUUAGACAACUUAAAUUUCAAACCCUAGAUUUUAAAAGUUUUAAAAUACAACCCUAUACUAAUAUGAUAUUACUAGAAUAAUAUAUAUAUGUAUAACUAAAUGCUAGUCUUACCGUUAGUAGGCCUCAUUCACGAAGCCGAUCUAUAAGGUGGGUAUAAGGUUGCGGCCUAUAAAAUGGCGCUUAAUGGGUGUACACUCACACCCACCGCUUGCUUGAUUGGUGGAGGGUCGUUAGCCGAACGGGUAGGAUAGGGCAACCUCAUCCUCUCAUUAAAAGUAUAAUAAGAAAUAUAAAGUAACUACACAUUUUUUUAAAAUUUCCCAAUCCUAGUUACUUUAGGAAAAGUGAAUUGAUGCAAUCCCAUGAAAUUACACUUUGCACCUUGCUAAGAUGUUAGUGGAGCGUGUGUGGUUUACCGGCACACUAAUUGGUUCUAAGCGAAGGUGGCAAAGGGUGAUUCAUUGUUUAUCAUAGUUCGAUGGAGCGUGUGUGGUUUACCGGCACAUCGAAUAGGUGAUUGUUACAAUGAAGGCACCAUGUGAAUUUGCAUGGUAAUUCACACCCGCUUUGUGAUCCUCGGCAUCCCAGUCACAAACAAGAGGGGCAUAUCGAGAUUUAAACAUGCCAUUGAAUAGUUUCAAUGAAUCUCAUCCGAACCUAGGAAUUCUCAAAAACACUUAGGACUAAUAGUUUAAGUUUUGUGAUGGAGAAUUAGUGAAUCGUCAUUCACUUACCUUCAAUUUAUUUGCAUGUUAGAUUACGGCAUCCCUUUUCUAGUAUGUAAAUGUUAUUGUUGGAUCCUAGCCCUAAUUUUCUUAUUGGGUGAUAAUUAGGGAUUCUUAUUCUAAUCUAUCUUUGUCCUUUUCUAAUUGUAGAUGUCGAACGCAAACAACGCUGCUGCUAGUUCUUUCACGUUGAUGAGCCUUUGCCAAAAGGUCACCUUCGAUGGAACGAACUUUAGCGAAUGGAUAAGAUACAUUCGCACCAUUGCUCGCUAUGAGGAUAAGGAGUAUGUCCUCGAUGAGAAGCUCGAGAAAAUCAACCCCGAAAUUGCUACUCCCGCCGAAAUCACCGCCUUUGAAACUCAUGAGCGAGAUGCAACGAAGGUACAUUGCAUCAUGAUCGCCACCAUGAACUCCGAAUUCCAAAAGUCCUACGAGGACAUGUACCCGUACGAGAUGCAUCAAGACUUAUUGGAGAGGUACCACCAAAACGCGAGACAAGAGAGGUACGAGAUUUUCACUAACAUGAUUUCCGCGAAGAUGGGUCAUGGAGAAUCUCUUACCGUGCACUUGCAAAAGAUGCAAAGGUAUGUUGACCGCCUUCGCAAGUUAAAUGUUGACUUCGGUGAAGACUUGGCGAUCGACAUGGUGCUUCACUCUUUGCCUCCGAUGUACAACCAAUUUAGGAUGACCUACCACAUGAACAAAGAAGAGGUCACCCUAAGCAAGCUCCAAGGUCUCUUGAGGGUUGCUGAGAGCAACUUCAAAGACAAGUCUGUUGCACCUACUCCCAAUCCGCCCGCUGCUCCUGUCUUGGCUAUUGGACAAGGGAAGGGAAAGAAGAGGAAAGCUUCAUCGAAGAACUAUCGCAAGGUGAAAGCCCGAGAUGGUGCCUCUUCUAGUGGGACCAAAGUUGAUCCCGCCAAGCCCUGCUCUAACCCGAAGGAGGCAGAGUGCCACCACUGCCACAAGAUAGGACAUUGGAAGAGAAGCUGCCCGGAUUACCUGCAAGCAAUCAAAGAAGGAAAGAUCAAGCCAUCUUUCGCAGGUAUAUAUACAAUCAAAUCUAACGAUUCUAAUCAUGCUAUUUCUUGGGUUCUUGAUACCGGUUGUGGUUAUCACAUUUGUUCUAAUGUGCAGGGACUAAGAAGAAGUAGGGAUGUGGAGCAAGGAAGGAUCAAUCUAAUCAUGGGGAACAGAAGAUCGUCGCCUGUGACCAAGAUUGGAGUGUAUUCCUUAGUGCUUAGGAAUAGUUUAGUUUUAGAUUUGAACAAUUGUUGCUAUUCGCCAGAAAUGGCAAGAAACAUCAUUUCAUUUCAUGGUUUAUAUAGACAAGGAUUUAGAUUUUCUUUUAAUAAUGAGAAUGGUUCUAUUUUGGCUUAUCUAAAUGGUGUCUUUUACUUUGAAGCUAUACCAUGUAAUGGAAUAUAUGAAACCGUUAUGAUUGUUGAUAACUUAGGAAAUGAUGUUUUGAAUAUUGAUUCUUCCACUAGUAUGGAUAAAGCAUCCUUGUGGCAUUGUCGUCUUGGACAUGUCAACAAGAAACGCAUAGCCCAACUCCAAAAGGAUGGAGUGUUGGAGUCAUUCGACCUUAGGGAAGAUGACACAUGCGAGUCUUGUUUGCUUGGAAAGAUGACUAAGUCACCCUUCACGAGUACAUGUGAAAGGGGCGAGGGUCUAUUGGACCUAAUACAUACCGAUGUAUGUGGACCGUUUAGAUCAACCACGAAGGAUGGGAACCGCUUCUAUGUGACUUUUACCGAUGACUAUAGUAGAUAUGGGUAUAUCUACUUAAUCAAGCAAAAGUCAGACACCUUUGAAAAGUUCAAAGAGUUCAAGAAUGAAGUGGAGAAUCAAUUGGGCAGGAAAAUCAAGAUGCUUCGAUCCGAUCGAGGAGGAGAGUACCUAAGUCUUGAAUUCCACGAUUAUCUCAAGGAGUGUGGAAUAGUUUCGCAAUUGACGCCUCCUAGGACACCGCAGUUGAAUGGUGUGGCAGAAAGGCGUAAUCGAACCUUAUUGGAUAUGGUUCGCUCUAUGAUGAGUCGUGCUUCACUACCAAUCUCUUUUUGGGGGUAUGCCUUAGAGACUGCCGCCCAUAUCCUUAACCGAGUCCCUACUAAGAAGGUUGCCAAAACACCUCACGAGAUGUGGACAGGGAAAGCUCCCUCGUUGGCACAUAUCAAGGUUUGGGGUUGCGAGGCUUUCGUAAGACGAGAUACUCACGACAAGCUUGAACCUCGAAGUGAGCGAUGUAUUUUCAUCGGCUACCCGCAGACAUCCUUUGGAUAUCUCUUCUAUAGACCGAAGGACAAUGUUGUCUUCGUUGCGAGGAGAGGAGUUUUCCGAGAGCGAGAACUCAUAAGCCAAGGAGACAGUGGGAGGCAAAUCGAGCUUGAAGAGAUUCAAGAGUCGAUAGAUGAAGGAACCUCUACCGCUGGCACUCAACCCGAGGAGGAAACUCCGGUUGAACCGAUUGACGAAUCCUUACCUCUUAGACGUUCCGAUAGAGUUAGAGUUCUACCCCAGUUUUAUGGUUUUCAUAUUACUACCGAAGGGGACACGUAUAUUAGUGAUGGUACACUAAUAAAUCUUGAUGAACCUAAUAGCUAUAAGGAAGCCAUGGCAGGCCCGGAGUCUGCAAAAUGGAAAGAGGCAAUGGAUAGCGAGAUCCAAUCCAUGUAUGAUAACCAAGUUUGGAAUUUGGUUGAUUAUGUGCCCGGACGUAAGACCGUUGGGUGCAAAUGGAUCUUCAAGAAGAAGACCGACGUGGAUGGAAACGUACACACAUAUAAAGCGCGAUUGGUUGCGAAGGGCUUUACUCAAACUCCCGGAGUUGACUAUGAUGAGACCUUCUCACCAGUUGCGAAGAUUAAAUCUAUUAGAGUGAUGCUAGCAAUUGCCGCAUUUCAUGAUUAUGAGAUUUGGCAAAUGGAUGUCAAGACCGCUUUCCUUAACGGAAAGUUGGCUGAGGAUGUUUACAUGGCUCAGCCAGAGGGGUUUGUGGAUCCGAAGCAUCCGAAUAGAGUGUGUAAGCUUGAGAAGUCCAUUUAUGGACUUAAGCAAGCGUCUCGCAGAUGGAAUCUUUGCUUCGAUGAGAAAGUCAAAGAGUUUGGAUUUGUACGAAGCGAAGACGAAUCUUGUGUAUAUGUCAAAGCCAGUGGGAGUAUAGUAAGCUUCCUCGUUCUAUAUGUCGAUGACAUAUUGCUCAUAGGAAACGACAUCCCGACUCUGCAGGAAGUUAAGUCCUGGCUCGGGAAGUGCUUCGCUAUGAAGGACCUCGGAGAAGCUUCUUACAUUUUGGGAAUAAGGAUAGUGAGAGAAAGAAGUAAGAGACUAAUAGGACUUAGUCAGAACACUUACUUAGAGAAGGUACUAAAACGUUUUAGUAUGGAAAACUCGAAGAAGGGAGAAUUACCGAUACAAAGUAAUGCCAAGUUGAGUAAGACUCAAAGUCCGAGUACCGAAGCUGAGAUAGCAGAAAUGAGCCGAGUACCAUACGCUUCCGCAGUUGGCUCAAUCAUGUACGCUAUGACUUGUACUCGCCCUGAUGUAGCCUUCGCUUUGAGCAUGGUUAGCAGAUAUCAAGGGAAUCCUGGCAAAGCACAUUGGAUUGCGGUGAAGAAUAUCCUUAAGUACCUUCGGAGGACGAAGGAAUGGUUCUUAGUCCUCGGAGGGAGUGAUGACUUGAAGGUGCGAGGGUAUAGUGACGCCAGUUUUCAGACCGACAGGGACAACUACCGUUCGCAGUCGGGAUGGGUCUUUACCCUUAAUGGAGGAGCAGUAACUUGGAAAAGUUCCAAACAGGAAACUGUAGCUGAUUCAACGUGCGAAUCAGAGUACAUUGCAGCGAGCGAAGCGUCAAAGGAGGCAAUAUGGUUGAAGAACUUCAUUGGCGAUCUUGGAGUUGUGCCUGCUAUAAAGGAGCCCAUGGAAAUUUUCUGUGAUAAUGAAGGAGCGGUUGCCUUGACCAAGGAACCGAGGGAUCAUGGUAGAUCUCGGCAUAUCGACAGAAAAUAUCACUUUAUUAGACAUCGAGUAGAAGAAGGACACCUCGUGGUUAAGAGGAUAUCAUCAGAAGAUAACCCAGCAGAUCCGCUUACGAAGGGACUGAGCAGGGUUAAGCACUUGCAGCAUGCUAGGAGUAUUGGGCUGAAGGAUGAUAUUAGUUUAGAUUAGAUAGUAUUAGAAACGUGUAAUAGAUAAAUGUAAUUGACAUUUGAUGAUUAAAUAAAGGAGUAUUAUUUAUAAGUAAUGUUACUGUCUUAUGUUAAUUGUUUAGCUAUUGUUUCACUUUGCAUGUUUUGACUUCCAGAAUAAUUGAGUUUAUUAAGAAUAAUCGAAUUAUUCAAACAGUCCACAAUCGUUCAUAUGUUGGAAGUAGGUAUGAAUGAAGAUUGUCAUGAAUUGGUGUGUAGAUUGUCUAAAUGGUAUUAGACAUAGCAAAGGUUUGCUGCAACGUUCAUGAGUGCUUAUGAACAAGUUUUGAGCAUUGGAAUAAACCCGCGCUUGCUGGAAUCACUUUGGAGUGAUCGCAAGACGAUAAUAUCAUAUGGUCUUAAAACCUAGAUAUAUGGUUUAUUAUUUACUAAUUGGUUGUACAUUGAUAAUGCGAAACCGCAUCAGUAAAUUGAUGUCAUAAAACGCAUUGUUGUGUAUAGUUGGUUAGUCGAUAAGUAAAUGCAUAUAAGUCGAAGUUUAUCUGUUACUUUUAUUCUAAGAGGGUAAAAGCGAUAUCACGGCCGCUCGAUGAUUUGAUUUGACUUAUGUGUCGGGCCCGGUCAGGACUGAAUUGAUGUGUUCAAUUAAGUUCUAUGUCAAAUAAAUCUGAGAUCGAGAAAAUAGUUGCUGGACAAUAAGUAUGACAAUGUUUCAUGAAAUCGUCUGCACGAUAUCAAAACAGAGGACUGUACGAUCCCUUAUCUAAAGGACAGGUUACUGAUAAGAUCAGAGUUGACAGCGUCUUUGAGAGCUACGAUUGCUAAUCGGAUUGUGUUUGCAUUUAUAGUUACUAGACUUAUCCAAGUGGGAGACUGUUGGAUUAGUGUCUAAGGCUGUAACUAUAUUUGGUAAGUACUUGACCCGAUUGUGCAUGGUCCUUUUGGGUUGCCUUCACCAUAGCAACUUGAUAGGGUGAUUUAGAGAGAAGAGAUAUUAUUAUUAAUGUAUUAUAAGAAUAAUAUGUUAAAAGAAUAAUAAUAUUAUUUGAUUAAUAUAAGUCAUAAAUUAAUUAGGAAUUAAUUUGGUGACUUAAAGAGAUUAAUUGAAUAAAGGGGUAUAAACUGUCAAAUGUAUGAAAGUUGUAUUUUGAGCUGAUAAUCCUUAUGGAUAUAGGGUUGGACGAUUUUAGGGAUAUGGAUCACCUAGAAAUCGUCCAAGGCCUUAUCUAGGAAGGGAUUUGGAUUGCUUUGAGGCUAAGUUAUCCAAUUAGGGUUUAAGGGUGAAACCCUAGGAGCUCACAGUAUAAAUAGACCCAUAGGGUUGAGGAAAUCGGCCACCCUUGUGAUUGGAGUAACCCUAGAGCCGAUUUCCCUCUUCCUCAUCUCUCUCAAAUCAUCUUCUUGCUAGUUGGUGUUUGUAAGCCAUUAGAGGAGUGACAUUUGUGACUCUAAGCUCCAAGAAGAAGAAGGUUUUCAAGCAAGUAACUCAAGGUAUCAUUCUAGAUCUGUUUUCAUAUGUUUUAAUUGUUUGUUUACAUUAGAUCUAGCCAUGAAAGUCUUGGAUGUGUUGCAUGUUCAAUUAGUGAAACCUAGAUCCAAGCUAUAGGGUUGUAUGUGCACAUAGGUAAAGUUCUUAUGUCCAAAACCCAUCAGUGGUAUCAGAGCCAUGAUUGGUUUCAAUUGAAUGUGAUGCUUAACUGUUUUGCUUGCUGAAAAUCUUUUUUCUUGCCCUCUGUCGACCCAACUCGGCGAGUCAGUGUUUGGACUCGGCGAGUUGGCCCUACUCGGCGAGCCCAAAGCUUGACUCGGCGAGUCCGAGCGUCAGACAGAGGAUAAUUCGGGAUUUUGUUGCUGUUUUGUCUUGGAUUGAUACCUAAAUCGUUUUAUUAUGUAAAAAUCCGAAUUUUAACUUAAUUUAAUGAUUAUCCUUGACAUAAAUAUAGAUAAUUUCAAAUCUUUUAAAUAUUGAUUAUUUAUAUGAUAAAUAUUGGACUAUUUAAGAUUAUUUGGUAAUUAUCUAAUGACUAAAAUUGGAUUAGGUCAAAUAUAGAUAAUUAUGAAAUUAAUUGUUUAAUUUGAAUUAUUUGUUAUUUGAUCCCUAUUGUUUGAAAAGUUCAAUUUCUAUCCCGAAGUUUUGAAAUUUGAAUUUUGUGAUUAAUAGUUUAAUUUAGAAGAAUUUAAAUUUCAACCCCUAGAGUUUUACAAGUUUAAAAUUCAACCCUAUACUAUUAUAUUAUUAAAAGCUUAAUAAAUAUAUAAGUAAAAUUAAAAUGCUAGUCUUACCGUUAGUAGGCCUCAUUCACGAAGCCGGUCUAUAAGGUGGGUAUAAGGUUGCUGCCUAUAAAAUGGCGCUUAAUGGGUGUACACUCACACCCACCGCUUGCUUGACCGGUGGAGGGUCGUUAGCCGAACGGGUAGGAUAGGGCAACUCUCUCUCCUCAUUAAUAAGUAUAAUGAAUCUAUAAAGUAACUAAACUAUUUUAUAAAAUUCCCAAUCUUAGUUACUUUAGGAAAAGUGAAUUGAUGCAAUCCCAUGAAAUUGCACUUUGCACCCUUGCUAAGAAGUUAGUGGAGCGUGUGUGGUUUACCGGCACACUAAUUGGUUCUAAGCAAAGGUGGCAAAGGGUGAUUCAUUGUUUAUCAUAGUUCGAUGGAGCGUGUGUGGUUUACCGGCACAUCGAAUAGAUGAUUGUAACAAUGAAGGCACCAUGUAGAUUUGCAUGGUAAUUCACACCCGCUUUGUGAUCCUCGGUAUCCCAGUCACAAACUAGAGGGGCAUAUCGAGAUUUAAACAUGCCAUUGAAGAGUUCAAUGAAUCUCUAAAAUCUAGGAAUUCUCAAUAAAACUUAAGGUUAUGUUUUCGUGGUGAAGAAUUAGUGAAUCGUCAUUCACUUACCUCCAAAUUAUUUGCAUGAUUGGAUUACGGCAUCCCUUUUCUAAUAUGUAAAUAAUGUUGUUGGGUCCUAGCCCUAAUUUUUCAUUUUGGGUGUUUAAUUAGGGAUCCAAAUUCUAAUCAAACUUUGUCCUUUCUAUUUGUAGAUGUCGAACGCAAACAACGCUGCUGCCAACUCAUUCACGUUAAUGAGUCUUUGCCAAAAGGUGACCUUCGAUGGUACGAACUUUAGCGAAUGGAUAAGAUACAUUCGCACCAUUGCACGCUACGAGGACAAAGAGUAUGUCCUCGACGAAAAGCUCGAGAAGGUCAACCCGGAAAUCGCUACUCCCGAAGAGAUGGCUGUCUUUGAGACACACGAACGUGAUGCAACGAAAGUCCAUUGCAUCAUGAUAGCCACUAUGAACCAAGAAUUCCAAAAGUCCUAUGAGGACAUGUAUCCGUAUGAAAUGCAUCAAGACUUGAUGGAGAGGUACCACCAAAGCGCGAGGCAAGAGCGCUACGAGAUCAUCACUAACAUGAUCACCGCUAAGAUGGGAAAUGGAGAAUCGUUGACUGUGCACUUGCAAAAGAUGCAACGAUAUGUUGAUCGUCUUCGCAAGUUAAAUGUUAACUUUGGGGAGGAUUUGGCCAUCGACAUUGUUCUUCAUUCCUUGCCUUCAUGCUACAACCAAUUUAGGAUGACCUACCACAUGAACAAGGAAGAGGUCACCCUAAGCAAACUCCAAGGACUCCUAAGGACUGCUGAGAGCAACCUAAAGGACAAGUCUGUUGCACCAACUCCCGCACCAACCGCUGCUCCUGUUUUGGCUAUAGGGCAGGGAAGGGGCAAGAAGAGGAAGGCUCCGUCAAAGAGCCACCGCAAGGGAAAGUCCCAAGAUGGUUCCUCUUCUAGUGGGACCAAAGUUGAUCCCGCUAAGCCCAACCCUAACCCGAAGGAGGCAGAGUGCCAUCAUUGCCACAAGAUAGGGCAUUGGAAGAGAAGCUGCCCGGAAUAUCUGCAAGCCAUCAAGGAUGGAAAGAUCAAGCCAUCUUUUGCAGGUAUAUACACAAUUAAAUCUAGUAAUUCAUCUCAUACUAUUUCUUGGGUUCUUGAUACAGGAUGUGGUUACCACAUUUGUUCUGAUUUGCAGGGACUAAGAAGAGAUAGAGAUGUGGAGCAAGGAAGAAUAAAUCUAAUCAUGGGAAACAGAAGAUCGUCGCCUGUCACCAAGAUUGGAGUGUAUUCUUUAGUGCUUAGUAAUGGAUUAGGUCUAGAUUUAAAUAAUUGUUGCUACUCGCCAGAUAUGGCAAGAAACAUCAUUUCAUUUCAUGGUUUGUUUAGACAAGGAUUUAGAUAUUCGUUUAAUAAUAUGAAUGGUUCUAUUUAUGCUUAUCUAAAUGGUGUUUUAUACUUUGAAGCAAUGCCUUGUAAUGGAAUUUAUGAAACUGUUAUGGUUGUAGAUAACCUAGGAAAUGAUGUGUUGUGUAUAGAUUCUUCCAAUAGUAUGGAUAAAGCAUCUUUGUGGCAUUGUCGUCUUGGACAUGUCAACAAGAAGCGCAUAGCCCAACUCCAAAAGGAUGGAGUGUUGGAGUCAUUCGACCUUAGGGAAGAUGACACGUGCGAAUCUUGUUUACUUGGAAAGAUGACCAAGUCACCCUUCACUGGCACAUGUGAAAGGGGUGAGGGUUUAUUGGAUCUCAUACAUACCGAUGUAUGUGGGCCCUUUAGAUCCACCACAAAGGAUGGAAACCGCUUCUACGUGACUUUCACCGAUGAUUAUAGUAGAUAUGGGUAUAUUUACUUAAUCAAGCAAAAGUCAGAAACGUUUGAAAAGUUCAAAGAGUUCAAGAAUGAAGUGGAGAAUCAAUUGGGCAGGAAAAUCAAGAUGCUUCGAUCCGAUCGAGGAGGAGAGUACCUAAGUCUUGAAUUCCACGAUUAUCUCAAGGAGUGUGGAAUAGUUUCACAAUUGACGCCACCUAGGACACCACAGUUGAAUGGUGUGGCAGAAAGGCGUAAUCGAACCUUGUUGGACAUGGUUCGUUCUAUGAUGAGUCGUGCUUCACUACCUAUCUCAUUUUGGGGGUAUGCCUUAGAGACUGCCGCCCAUAUCCUUAACCAAGUCUCUACAAAGAAGGUUGCCAAAACACCUCACGAGAUGUGGACAGGGAAAGCUCCCUCGUUGGCACAUAUCAAGGUUUGGGGUUGUGAAGUUUUCGUAAGACGAGAAACUCAUGACAAGCUCGAACCUCGUAGUGAGCGAUGUAUUUUCAUCGGCUACCCGCAGAAAUCCUUUGGAUAUCUCUUCUAUAGACCGAGUGACAAUGUUGUCUUCGUUGCGAGAAGAGGGGUUUUCUGAGAGCGAGAACUCAUAAACCAAGGAGACAGUAGGAGGCAAAUCGAUCUUGAAGAGAUUAAGGAGUCGAGUGAUGAAGGAACCUUUACCGCUUGUGCUCAACCCGAAGAGGAAACUCCGGUUAACCAAUUGACGAGUCAUUACCUCUUAGACGUUCCGAAAGAUUUAGAGUUCAACCCCAGAUUUAUGGUUUUCAUAUUACUACUAAAGGGGACACGUAUAUUAGUGAUGAUACACUAAUAAAUCUAGAUGAACCUAAUAGCUAUAAGGAAGCCAUGGCAGGCCCGGAGUCUGCAAAAUGGAAAGAGGCAAUGGAUAGCGAGAUCCAAUCCAUGUAUGAUAACCAAGUUUGGAAUUUGGUUGAUUAUGUGCCCGGACGUAAGACCGUUGGGUGCAAAUGGAUCUUCAAGAAGAAGACCGACAUGGAUGGGAAUGUACACAUUUAUAAGGCGCGAUUGGUUGCGAAGGGAUUUACUCAAACUCCCGGAGUUGACUAUGAUGAGACCUUCUCACCAGUUGCUAAAAUAAAAUCUAUAAGGGUGAUGCUAGCUAUUGCUGCAUUUCAUGAUUAUAAGAUAUGGAAAAUGGAUGUCAAUACCGCUUUCCUUAAUGGGAAGUUGGCUAAGGAUGUUUACAUGGCUCAGCCAUAGGGUUUUGUCGAUCCGAAGCAUCCAAAUAGAGUGUGCAAGCUUGAGAAGUCCAUUUAUGGACUUAAGCAAGCAUCUCGCAGAUGGAAUCUUUGCUUUGAUGAGAAAGUCAAAGAGUUUGGAUUUGUACGAAGCGAAGAUGAAUCAUGUGUAUAUGUCAAAGCCAGUGGGAGCAUAGUUAGCUUUCUCAUUUUGUAUGUCGAUGACACACUGCUCAUGGGAAACGACAUCCCGACUCUACAGGAAGUUAAGUUCUGGCUCGGGAGGUGUUUCACUAUGAAGGACCUCGGAGAGGCUUCCUAUAUUUUGGGAAUAAGGAUAGUGAUAGAAAGAAGAUACUAAUAGGACUUAGUCAGAAUACUUACUUAGAUAAGGUACUAAAACGUUUUAGUAUGGAAAACUCGAAGAAGGGAGAACUACCGAUACAAAGUAAUACCAAAUUGAGUAAGACUCAAAGUCCGAGUACCGAAGCUGAGAUAGCUGAGAUGAGCCGAGUACCUUACGCUUACGCAGUUGGCUCAAUCAUGUACGCUAUGACUUGUACUCGCCCUGAUGUGGCCUUUGCUUUGAGCAUGGUCAGUAAAUACCAAGGGAAUCCUGGAAGAACGCAUUGGAUUGUGGUCACGAACAUCCUUAAGUACCUUCGGAGGAACAAGGAAUGGUUUCUAGUCCUCGGAGGGAGUGAUGACUUAAAGGUGCGAGGGUCUAGUGACGCCAGUUUCCAGACCAACAAGGACAACUACCGUUCGCAGUCGGGAUGGGUCUUUAACCUUAAUGGAGGAGCGGUGACUUGGAAGAGUUCCAAGCAGGAAACUAUAGCUGAUUCAACGUGCGAAUCAGAGUACAUUGCAGCGAGCGAAGCGUCAAAAGAGGAAAUAUGGUUGAAGAACUUCAUUGGUGAUCUUGGAGUUGUGCCUGCUAUAAAGGAGCCCAUGGAAAUUUUCUGUGAUAAUGAAGGAGCGGUUGCCUUGACCAAGGAACCGAGGGAUCAUGGUAGAUCUUGGCAUAUCGACAUAAAAUAUCACUUUAUUAGACAUCGAGUAGAAGAAGGACACCUCGUGGUUAAGAGGAUAUCAUCAGAAGAUAACCCAACAGAUCCGCUUACGAAGGGACUGAGCAGGGUUAAACACUUGCAGCAUGCUAGGAGUAUUGGACUGAAGGAUGAUAUUAGUUUAGAUUAGAUAGUUUUGGAAACAUGUAAUAGAUAAAUGUAAUUGACAUUUGAUAAUUAAAUAAAAGAGUAUUGUUUAUAAGUAAAGUUACUGUCUUAUGUUAAUUGUUUAACUAUUGUUUCACUUUGCAUGUUUUGACUUCCAAAAUAAAAGAGUUUAUUAAGAAUAAUCGAAUUAUUCAAAUAGUCCACAAUUGUUCAUAUAUUGGAAGUAGAUAUGACUGAAGAUUGUCAUGAAUUGGUGUGUAGAUUGUCUAAAUGGUAUUAGACAUAGCAAAGGUUUGCUGCAACGUUCAUGAGUGCUUAUGAACAAGUUUUGAGCAUUGGAAUAAAGCCGCGCUUGCUGGAAUCACUUUGGGGUGAUCGCAAGACGAUAAUAUCAUAUGGUCUUGAAGCCUAGAUAUAUGGUUUAUUAUUUACUAACUGGUUGUACAUUGAUAAUGCAAAACCUUUAGAGAUGGAUUGGUUAGAUCCCUAGCUAUGGUAAGCUUGGGUUCCUCAGCAGAUUGAUUAUGGAAUGGUAGCAAGGAUUGGGNAAGUAAAUGCAUAUAAGUCGAAGUUUAUUUGUUACUUUUAUCCUAAGAGGUAAAAGCGAUAUCACGGCCGCUCGAUGAUUUGAUUUGACUUAUGUGCCGGGCCCGGUCAGGACUAAAUUGAUGUGUUCAAUUAAGUUCUAUGUCGAAUAAAUCUGAGAUCGAGAAAAUAGUUGCUGGACAAUAAGUAUGACAAUGUUUCAUGAAAUCGUCUGCACGAUAUCAAAACAGAGGACUAUAUGAUCCCUUAUCUAAAGGACAGGUUACUGAUAAGAUCAGUGUUGACAGCGUCUUUGAGAGCUACGAUUGCUAAUCGAAUUGUGUUUGCACUUAUAGUUACUAGACUUAUCCAAGUGGGAGACUGUUGGAUUAGUGUCUAAGGUUGUAACUAUAUUUGGUAAGUACUUGACUCGGUUGUGCAUGAUCCUUUUGGGUUGCCUUCACCAUAGCAACUUGACAGGGUGAUUUAUAUAGAGAGAAGAGAUAUUAUUAAUAUAUUAUAAGAAUAAUAUACUAAAGGAAUAAUAAUAUUAUUUGAUUAAUAGAAGUCAUAAAUUAAUUAGGAAUUAAUUUGGUGACUUAAAGAGAUUAAUUGAAUAAAGGGGCAUAAACUGUCAAAUGUGUGAUAGUUGUAUUUUGAGCUAAGAAUCCUUAUAGAUAUGGGGUGGAAGAUUUUAGGGAUGUGGAUCACCUAGAAAUCGUCCAAGACCUUAUCUAGAAGGGCUAUUGGAUUGCUUUGAGGCUAAGUUAUCCAAUUAGGGUUUUAGGGUGAAACUCUAGGAGCUCACAAUAUAAAUAGGUCUUUGGGGUUGUGGAAAUCGACCACCUGAUUAUUGGAGUAACCCUAGAGCCGAUUUCCCUCUUCUUUACCUCUCUUAAAUCAUCUUCUUGCUGUUUGGUGUUUGUAAGCCAUUAGAGGAGUGACAUUUGUGACUCUAAGCUCCAAGAAGAAGAAGUUUUUCAAGCAAGUAACUCAAGGUGUUAUUCUAGAUCUGUUUUUCAUAUGUCUUAUUGUUAGUUUACAUUAGAUCUAGCCAUGAAAGUCUUGGAUAUAUUGCAUGUUCAAUUAGAGAAACCUAGAUCCAAGCUAUAGGGUUGCAUGUGCACAUAGUAAAGUUCUUAUGUCUAAAACCCAUCACUUAUAUCAUUUGGACCAAACCCUAAUCAGCCUCCAUAGCCUCUUUUCAUCCUAAACCCCUAUUUUUGCAAGAGAGUGUGAGUUUUGUGCCUUAAGGUGUUUUUGGUGGCCAUUCUAGUGGGUUUGCAAGAAGAAGGAAGUGGUGUUCAAGCUUUGAACAUGGGAAGAGCUUGAAGAUCCUGCAUCUAGAGUAUCUUGGGGAGCCUUGGAAGGUAAAAGUUGUCACCUUGCUUAUCCUUGUUGUUUUUUGAGUUAGGGUUUUCUAGAAGUCCUCUUUUGAGUCCAUAAAUCCUAUCUUGGGAGUUUGGGCAGCUCCAGAGGUUAGGAAGUAUAGAUAUGAGGUCCUUUGGCUUGAUUAUAGCAUAAAAAUGCAAACUUGAUGACUUCUAUGGCUCCAUGCAUGAGUUAAGACCUUUGGAAAGGUCUUAAUGAGAUAUAAUGAGUUGUUGGGAGCAUAUAUGGCAUGCAAAGGCAUAAAUUUGCCAAAUUUAUGCCUUAGGACCCUUAAAAUAUCUAUGAUCUGAAGUUUGAGCGAAAAUUCUUCAUGUAUUAAGAACUUAAUGGAGUUGGAUGCAAGACAACUUAUACGAUGGGCGUACUAUGUUGUACGCAGCGCGUACAACCUAUGAACCCAGUACACUAAGCAUACUGAAGAGAUACGUUGGGCUUACGCUUUGAGAGAGUCUUGGGCUUCUGACAGAGUUUCAAACCUUUGGGCCCUAAUUGUUUUAGGCCUGGACUUGCUGGAGUUAUAGGCCUAGAUUUAUUAUUUGGGCCAAUGUUGGCAUGAUUUGGCAUUUUGGACCUUGUGGCUCUAUAUAGAAUUGGAUUUUUGAUGUUAGGCUCAUUAGUGAAGGAAAGACCUUUGGGCCAUCAUGGAGGGACUUGGACUUAGGAUUUUGGGCCCUUGUGUCAUAAUCCUAAUUAGGGUUAUUUGUAUAUUUGUUCAGUGUGAGAUUUUGGACUAGUAGUCGAAAACCUAUUGUGUUCACCAGACUGAGGUGUGUUUUCUCAUUAUACUCAUGGAUCGAAGGCACCAAUGCUGGCCUAUUACUUGAUAGGUUGUUUCAAUAAUUGAAUAUGCAAUGGUUGUUAUUUGGCAUGUUAUGACUUAUGUUAUUUGGUAAAGAUCGUAGGGGGAGCUCAUAGCCCUUGGAUGUAAGACUAUGGGGGUAGCCCAUGACAUUCCAGGUGAAGACUAUGGAGGGAGUCUAUGGCAAUCCUAUGUAUAUAUGUUGCAUGACAUUAUGUGGUUAUACGUUUGUGUAUUUUGGGAACUCACUAACCGUUCGCUUACAGUUCGUUGGAUGUUUCAGGUACUUCUGGAUCUAAGGGCAAGGGCCCGACUUGAUGACGUAACAUGCACUUUCCAGUAUUCCGCAUUUCUUGUUUUGGAUACUCUGAUCUUAUGGACAUGAGUUUAUGUAAUGAAUUUUGGAAAAACAAAUAUGGUUGUAAUUUCUAAAUAUUAAAUGAAAAAUUUUAUCUAAAUUUCCGGGCUGUUACAGACCGGACUAUUGAGGCAAUUAGGGUUGAUGUCAAAGAAAUUGGGCUAAUUUGAAAACUGAAGUCUUUCUCUCUUUAGUAUUCAUUUAUUAAGUAUAGGGUAUAAAUGUAUUUUUUUCUGUGGAUGCACACAAAUACCCCAGUGGAAGAAUCACGCUCCAUUUUUAAUGGGUGGUGGUGAAUUGUCUUUGUAGUCCUCACCAUUUUUUAAGUUCUUACUGGAUUAUAUAUAUAUAUAUAUAUAUAUAUAUAUAUANNNNNNNNNNNNNNNNNNNNNNNNNNNNNNNNNNNNNNNNNNNNNNNNNNNNNNNNNNNNNNNNNNNNNNNNNNNNNNNNNNNUAUAUAUCGUCGGGUGUCCUAAUUGUUUAUUGAGAAGGACAUGGUAAACAUUGACCCAUGUUUGACCUAAAUUUAAAUCCCCUAAAGGCAAUGAAAAAAUGGCAAGAAGAAGGAUUUAUGACGUACUACAGUCUCUUAGUAUAUCAUAUAAAGGUUGAACCAUUUCCUUUGUAUCCCAGUUAUUUUGGUCAAAAAUCGAUCAAAUGGAUAUCAACCAAAUUGUAUGAGAAAACUGUGGUUUUGUGACUAUUAUGAGUAUCCAAUUGAGAUCAGAAUGACACAAGUGGUUUACAAGGAAAUCUCUUGAUCCUUGAUAGGAUCUCCGAUAUAAAAUUGAUAAUGAUCAUCUGCCUUGUUUGAUUUUAUUGAUUUGAAUGCAAAUUAUAGAAAUGAUAAUAUGAAUACAAGUGCAAGUGUUUGAGUAGCUCUACGUAUGUGUGUAGUGUGAAUUAUACAUGUGUAUUUAUAGUCUAAUCCGAAUAACUAAGAGUCCGAUAUUUUUUGGAUCCUCUUGAAUAAGCAUUCACAUGUUGCUUUAACUUGAUAUUUUUGGGUUUUAAUCUAGUUUAAAGUAACUCUCCAGAAUAUAUGAGUCUUUUGUUGACUAUUUAUGCACAAACACGAAUAAACAAUAAAUAUAGCCGUUAAUCUUGUUAGGAAAUAAUGAUAAUAAUCAGGAUCCUGGUGUAUGUAUCGGGAUCCUUAAAAUCCUUUAAGAUUAGAGAUCUUAGAUAGGGUUCAGGAUCUUGACCCCUAACACCAGUGUAAAAUAGAAAUCAUAGNNNNNNNNNNNNNNNNNNNNNNNNNNNNNNNNNNNNNNNNNNNNNNNNNNNNNNNNNNNNNNNNNNNNNNNNNNNNNNNNNNNNNNNNNNNNNNNNNNNNNNNNNNNNNNNNNNNNNNNNNNNNNNNNNNNNNNNNNNNNNNNNNNNNNNNNNNNNNNNNNNNNNNNNNNNNNNNNNNNNNNNNNNNNNNNNNNNNNNNNNNNNNNNNNNNNNNNNNNNNNNNNNNNNNNNNNNNNNNNNNNNNNNNNNNNNNNNNNNNNNNNNNNNNNNNNNNNNNNNNNNNNNNNNNNNNNNNNNNNNNNNNNNNNNNNNNNNNNNNNNNNNNNNNNNNNNNNNNNNNNNNNNNNNNNNNNNNNNNNNNNNNNNNNNNNNNNNNNNNNNNNNNNNNNNNNNNNNNNNNNNNNNNNNNNNNNNNNNNNNNNNNNNNNNNNNNNNNNNNNNNNNNNNNNNNNNNNNNNNNNNNNNNNNNNNNNNNNNNNNNNNNNNNNNNNNNNNNNNNNNNNNNNNNNNNNNNNNNNNNNNNNNNNNNNNNNNNNNNNNNNNNNNNNNNNNNNNNNNNNNNNNNNNNNNNNNNNNNNNNNNNNNNNNNNNNNNNNNNNNNNNNNNNNNNNNNNNNNNNNNNNNNNNNNNNNNNNNNNNNNNNNNNNNNNNNNNNNNNNNNNNNNNNNNNNNNNNNNNNNNNNNNNNNNNNNNNNNNNNNNNNNNNNNNNNNNNNNNNNNNNNNNNNNNNNNNNNNNNNNNNNNNNNNNNNNNNNNNNNNNNNNNNNNNNNNNNNNNNNNNNNNNNNNNNNNNNNNNNNNNNNNNNNNNNNNNNNNNNNNNNNNNNNNNNNNNNNNNNNNNNNNNNNNNNNNNNNNNNNNNNNNNNNNNNNNNNNNNNNNUAUAUAUAUAGGUUCAGGUUCAUUUGAGACCAUUCUAAUUUUGUGAGACCGUGAGACAAAAUCUAAAAAUAAUUUUAAAAUGCAAAAUAAAUGGAAAAAUCCAAAAAUUCUUUUUUUAAAUAUUAUUUCCGGAACUUGAAUUAACUAAAAAAAUAAAAAAAAAUUCCGUUUUUUUUGAAAAAUACGUGAAAUAUUCUAAUAUAAUAUUACACUGAUAUAUUCUAAAAAGUAAUUUUAAAAUACAGAAUAAAUGGAAAAAUCUAAAAAUUCUUUUUUUAAAUAUUAUUUUCGAAACUUAUAUGUUGUAGAUGCAACUAUUGAAGCAGAAAAAGUGGUUCAUACAAACAGCUCGUGGGGUGGCUGUUGGAAAUGCUGGCCGCCCAACGUCCAAAACCGUCGUCUUCUCCGCUAGGAUAGUUAACGAUGAUGGCAAUAUGUUGUGUUGUGAUGAGAUAUGUCUAAAUAAACCAAUGCGGUGUAUGGUUUGAUUUUUUUUUCUUCAUGUUACGUAAACAAGUAUGAGAUAUUAAACAGUUUGGUUUGGUUUUUGUCAUUGUUGAUUUCUUUGAGCAUCUCUCGGAUGGUAGGUGUUUCUUAGAGAUCGAACAUUAAAAUAACUUCUAUAAUUGAAGUAAAUAGUUUUUGUCGUCAAACAAUAUAACCUGUUUUAUUUUAUUUGACUAAAUGUUUUUUUACAUUGUUACUCUAUUACAUUUAUUUAUCAAU